CCUACGGGGGGCUGCAGUGGGGAAUAUUGCACAAUGGGCGCAAGCCUGAUGCAGCCAUGCCGCGUGUGUGAAGAAGGCCUUCGGGUUGUAAAGCACUUUCAGCGGGGAGGAAGGCGGUGAGGUUAAUAACCUCAUCGAUUGACGUUACCCGCAGCAGAAGCCCCGGCUAACUCCGUGCCAGCAGCCGCGGUAAUACGGAGGGUGCAAGCGUUAAUCGGAAUUACUGGGCGUAAAGCGCACGCAGGCGGUCUGUCAAGUCGGAUGUGAAAUCCCCGGGCUCAACCUGGGAACUGCAUUCGAAACUGGCAGGCUAGAGUCUUGUAGAGGGGGGUAGAAUUCCAGGUGUAGCGGUGAAAUGCGUAGAGAUCUGGAGGAAUACCGGUGGCGAAGGCGGCCCCCUGGACAAAGACUGACGCUCAGGUGCGAAAGCGUGGGGAGCAAACAGGAUUAGAUACCCGUGUAGUC
RNAcentral lists this ribosomal RNA (465 nucleotides) under uncultured Klebsiella sp. RNAcentral's name for it is "bacterial SSU rRNA". It matches the Rfam family "Bacterial small subunit ribosomal RNA", at positions 338 to 795 of the family's 1533-position model. Lineage: Bacteria; Pseudomonadati; Pseudomonadota; Gammaproteobacteria; Enterobacterales; Enterobacteriaceae. The record is from RNAcentral.